GAACGGCAGCAUAGGAGCUUGCUCCUGAUGGCGAGUGGCGAACGGGUGAGUAAUAUAUCGGAACGUGCCCUAGAGUGGGGGAUAACUAGUCGAAAGACUAGCUAAUACCGCAUACGAUCUACGGAUGAAAGUGGGGGAUCGCAAGACCUCAUGCUCCUGGAGCGGCCGAUAUCUGAUUAGCUAGUUGGUGGGGUAAAAGCCUACCAAGGCAACGAUCAGUAGCUGGUCUGAGAGGACGACCAGCCACACUGGGACUGAGACACGGCCCAGACUCCUACGGGAGGCAGCAGUGGGGAAUUUUGGACAAUGGGGGCAACCCUGAUCCAGCAAUGCCGCGUGAGUGAAGAAGGCCUUCGGGUUGUAAAGCUCUUUUGUCAGGGAAGAAACGGUAGUAGCGAAUAACUAUUACUAAUGACGGUACCUGAAGAAUAAGCACCGGCUAACUACGUGCCAGCAGCCGCGGUAAUACGUAGGGUGCAAGCGUUAAUCGGAAUUACUGGGCGUAAAGCGUGCGCAGGCGGUUGUGUAAGUCAGAUGUGAAAUCCCCGGGCUCAACCUGGGAAUUGCAUUUGAGACUGCACGGCUAGAGUGUGU
Molecule: ribosomal RNA, 594 nt
Filed under: Herbaspirillum huttiense subsp. huttiense
Lineage: Bacteria; Pseudomonadati; Pseudomonadota; Betaproteobacteria; Burkholderiales; Oxalobacteraceae
Description: bacterial SSU rRNA
Rfam family: Bacterial small subunit ribosomal RNA
Source: RNAcentral